AACAGGAUUAGAUACCCUGGUAGUCCACGCCCUAAACGAUGUCGACUAGUUGUUGGGCCUUCAGUGGCUCGGUAACGCAGCUAACGCGUGAAGUCGACCGCCUGGGGAGUACGGUCGCAAGAUUAAAACUCAAAGGAAUUGACGGGGACCCGCACAAGCGGUGGAUGAUGUGGAUUAAUUCGGUGCAACGCGAAAAACCUUACCUACCCUUGACAUGCCAGGAACUUGGCCGAGAGGCUGGGGUGCCCGCAAGGGAGCCUGGACACAGGUGCUGCAUGGCUGUCGUCAGCUCGUGUCGUGAGAUGUUGGGUUAAGUCCCGCAACGAGCGCAACCCUUGUCCCUAGUUGCCAGUGGUCUGCAAAGGCUGCGCACUCUAGGGAGACUGCCGGUGACAAACCGGAGGAAGGUGGGGAUGACGUCAAGUCCUCAUGGCCCUUAUGGGUAGGGCUUCACACGUCAUACAAUGGUCGGUACAGAGGGCUGCCAACCCGCAAGGGGGAGCCAAUCCCACAAAGCCGAUCGUAGUCCGGAUUGCAGUCUGCAACUCGGCUGCAUGAAGUCGGAAUCGCUAGUAAUCGCGGAUCAGCAUGUCGCGGUGAAUACGUUCCCGGGUCUUGUACACACCGCCCGUCACACCAUGGGAGUGGGUUUUACCAGAAGUGGCUAGCCUAACCUUGCAAGAGGGGGGCGGUUACCACGGUAGGGCUCAUGACUGGGGUGAAGUCGUAACAAGGUAACC
This 740-nucleotide ribosomal RNA is filed under the name uncultured bacterium. RNAcentral's name for it is "bacterial SSU rRNA". It matches the Rfam family "Bacterial small subunit ribosomal RNA", at positions 771 to 1501 of the family's 1533-position model. The record is from RNAcentral.